AUGCUUUAACAUAAAAUUCACACAGAUGCUGUGCGACAACGACCACUUUUUUUAUGACGAAAUAAUUACCCCCGUCCUAGUUAUUUUGUGAAAUGUGACCAACGUUGACCUUGUUCAUUGCAGAAAUUGUGGAAAGUGUUGAUAUCUUCGACGUUGAAAAUGGUGAAUACCAUUUCGUCAAUGGCGGAGAAGUGCACACAUCGAAUUGUGUAGCCGAAAACGGACUCCCUGCUGCUUCCAUUGAAUGGUAUAAGGAUGAAGAACUUAUGGGGAAUGGCAAUCAGACUGUAUUCGAAAACAUGGACGGCACUUUUACCACACACAGUGAACUUACCUUCGUACCUACAUCCGAACACGAUGGUGUUGUAGUGAAAUGUCAGUCGAACCAAGAACCAGAAAUUAUGGAUACAUACCUUGACGACUAUUUCAUCUUACUUGUCGGUGGCGCUGGUACUAUUAAGCUUAGUGCAGUUCUUUUAUUGGUAUCAGUGUUAUUCUCAACUCUCUGAAGUGUAAGAGGUGCUGCCACACACAACACAACUCGGCAGAUAUUAUUAUUCGUCAUCGUAUCAGAUGUUUUACUACUUUUUGAUGUCAACUCAUGAUUCUCCGAGUCGCAUAGCAACGCAUCGCCUUUGAAUGUGAACAAUAAUUCAGCAGAAAUAAUGAUAAUAUUAGUAAUUUUAAUAAUGUUAACUCUCCGAUUAUAAUUCGACACAUUCGUCGUUACUACUAAGAUCACUCUGAAUAAAAAGUAUAUGUUUUUUAUAUUAAUUUCUUUUAGGGAGGGCAGUCUUAGUCAUAUACAUUGCGUAAAGUAUAUUGCUCCAAAUUAUUUGGCCAAAACAUCUUUUUUUUUAUUACAGAAAAUAAUUCCCGUGAAUCUUUGGACAGUCAAUUUAAACAGACCUUGUCAUUUAUUAAAUCUGAUGCCGCAUAUUUCACUCUCCAAACAUCGCUCUCUGAAGCCUAUCAACAUUACGCAACGUUGAGAAAUCAGGUCGCCUACUAAUGAAAUUGACAUAGCAAAUAUUGCUGAGAAACCGGGAAUAUCCGAGUAAGAACAUGAAUACAUCACGUGAUCAAAAUAGCCGUUCUAUUAUCAUGUUCGCUUUCAAUAUUAAAAAAAACCACCAUUAAUGCGUAGCUUAGUUUUAGCUUUAUGUUUUUACAUUUUCCCAAUAUUAUCUUUACUAGAGUAAGUCUGUAAUAUUCAAUUCCAUUUUAUGACCUUAAUAGAAAAUUUGAUAUCAUUGAUGUGCCCUCUAAGGGAAAUUGUUUCGUGGUUUUGUAAAUUGACUGCACAAACAAAAAUGUCGUGGCCCCUAAUUGCAUUCGUUUUCACAAUUAUUUUAUUAAUGAAAUGUGAAUUUCAUUUCACCGAAUCAAAAUUUCCAUACGUGUUUUCGAAGAUCAGUGAAUUAGCAUAAUUAGUUGCGUCACGGUUUUUUUUUGUGCGUCAGUGGCGCAUCAUUUGGCCUUAGAGACAAACUGUUUUCCAUCGUCAAUAUAUGGUGGCGGCUUGGCGGCCAGUUUACCGAAAUCAAAUUAAAACGCCAUAGACGCCAUGCUCAAUAUGGGUUCCAUGCGACCGUUUACCCUGAAUAAAAGCGAUAUUUCUAAA
RNAcentral lists this long non-coding RNA (1624 nucleotides) under Saccoglossus kowalevskii. RNAcentral describes it as "uncharacterized LOC102803879". Lineage: Eukaryota; Metazoa; Hemichordata; Enteropneusta; Harrimaniidae. The record is from RNAcentral.